GUUUCCGUAGUUCAACGGAUAGAAUAGCUGAUUCCGAUUCAGCCGAUAUGGGUUCGAUUCCCUUCGGGAACACAA
RNAcentral lists this transfer RNA (75 nucleotides) under Mucilaginibacter paludis DSM 18603. RNAcentral describes it as "tRNA-Arg". It matches the Rfam family "tRNA". Rfam says of the family: Transfer RNA (tRNA) molecules are approximately 80 nucleotides in length. Their secondary structure includes four short double-helical elements and three loops (D, anti-codon, and T loops). Further hydrogen bonds mediate the characteristic L-shaped molecular structure. tRNAs have two regions of fundamental functional importance: the anti-codon, which is responsible for specific mRNA codon recognition, and the 3' end, to which the tRNAs corresponding amino acid is attached (by aminoacyl-tRNA synthetases). tRNAs cope with the degeneracy of the genetic code in two manners: having more than one tRNA (with a specific anti-codon) for a particular amino acid; and 'wobble' base-pairing, i.e. permitting non-standard base-pairing at the 3rd anti-codon position. Lineage: Bacteria; Pseudomonadati; Bacteroidota; Sphingobacteriia; Sphingobacteriales; Sphingobacteriaceae. The record is from RNAcentral.